GUGUCAGCAGCCGCGGUAAUACGGAGGGAGCUAGCGUUGUUCGGAAUUACUGGGCGUAAAGCGCGCGUAGGCGGCUCAGCAAGUCAGGGGUGAAAUCCCGGGGCUCAACCCCGGAACUGCCUUUGAAACUGCUAGGCUAGAAUCCUGGAGAGGCGAGUGGAAUUCCGAGUGUAGAGGUGAAAUUCGUAGAUGUUCGGAAGAACACCAGGGGCGAAGGCGACUCGCUGGACAGGUAUUGACGCUGAGG
RNAcentral lists this ribosomal RNA (247 nucleotides) under uncultured bacterium. Its description in RNAcentral is "partial 16S rRNA". It matches the Rfam family "Bacterial small subunit ribosomal RNA", at positions 505 to 751 of the family's 1533-position model. The record is from RNAcentral.